UGUAACUAUUUUUAAUUUGUUACAGAUUUGCUGGGGGGGGAGGGUGUCCCAAUAUAUUUUGUUCCAGGUCUAAAAAUUCAUAGCUGUAGCCCCAGACUGCAACACCGACCAGUGGACAGAAGGCUAGAGGCAUUUUAGCAUAAACAAAACAGUGGGAUGAAUCUUACCUGAGAAAGGGCCUUUUUACUCACUGGUUCUUCUUCCUCAGAAUCUGACUGUAAAAAAUAAAAGAUACAAGUACUCAACACAACCUUAUGACAAUCCGGUCGCUCAACGUUUACUCAAACUGAACACACCGCAGAAGUAACAGACGAUGGAACAUAACGAAGAAAACCUGCGCAAGUAACACUCACGUCUCCUCUCUGCAGUUCUGGAAUGGUAAUUUUCACCGGCUCGGUGCGCUUCUUCGGUUUCGGUAAAUUCAAAUGCAACCCACUCGAAAUCGGAGGGUGGGCGCCCUUUGGGUCCAAAUUCUGCCCGGGGUCCAUAUCUGACAUGAAAGACGCGGGUAUCUGAGGGCUACCGGACCUUUGAGAAGUGUCCCGUUUUGGAGGUGGCAGGUUUAACCCCAUGCUUGGUCCACUGUUUUUCAGACCCUCUGGUUCAGAAGCAGGCUUCUUCGGAGAAGGGAGGCUUACAAAAAGUCCCAAACUUUUCCCUCCUGUUUCGCAAAACUUCGGCGUGUCUUCGGAUUCGCUCUCAUCGCUGCUACCGUAUGCUACCAGAGACAUGGUGGAAUUUUGUGACAGUUAGCGAGCUAACAAUCGGGCAUUUACAUAUGGAAUUAACUUAUCUUACAAAAAAACCACUCCUCACGCGGAGCUACGUGCUAACGUUUGCUUGCUGUGGUACUUUCCUUUUGAGCUGUAGGUAGAGUCGUUAGCUAACUGUUAGAUGGCUGUCCAGCUAGGAAACUACUUGGAGUAUAAAACGGGCUACAAUUCUAUAUAAAAAUUAAAACCUAAAUUUUUAUUCUCCACUA
Molecule: long non-coding RNA, 982 nt
Organism: Anguilla rostrata (American eel)
Lineage: Eukaryota; Metazoa; Chordata; Actinopteri; Anguilliformes; Anguillidae
Exons: 2
Source: RefSeq, a predicted model, not a curated record